GUCAGAUAGUGCAGUGGUUAGCGCUCUAGAGUCAUAUUUGCAAGGUCGCCGGUUCGAGUCUGGUGGAUGACA
Non-coding RNA from Gigaspora rosea, 72 nucleotides. The record is from the annotation of a GenBank genome assembly. Lineage: Eukaryota; Fungi; Glomeromycota; Glomeromycetes; Diversisporales; Gigasporaceae.